This 460-nucleotide ribosomal RNA is filed under the name uncultured bacterium. Its description in RNAcentral is "partial 16S ribosomal RNA". It matches the Rfam family "Bacterial small subunit ribosomal RNA", at positions 338 to 795 of the family's 1533-position model. The record is from RNAcentral.
CCUACGGGUGGCAGCAGUGAGGAAUAUUGGUCCAUGGGCGGGAGCCUGACCCCGCCAAGUCGCGUGCGGGAAGACGGUCCUGUGGAUUGUACACCUCUUUAGGCGGGGAGCAAUGCCGGGCACGCGUGCCCGGAGGGCGGGUACCCGCAGAAUCAGCAUCGGCUAACUACGUGCCAGCAGCCGCGGUAAUACGGAGGAUGCGAGCGUUAUCCGGAUUUAUUGGGUUUAAAGGGUGCGUAGGCGGAUUUGUAAGUCAGCGGUAAAAUGUCCGGGCUCAACCCGGGCCGGCCGUUGAAACUGGGGAUCUAGAGUGGGCGAGAAGGAUGCGGAAUGCGUGGUGUAGCGGUGAAAUGCAUAGAUAUCACGCAGAACUCCGAUUGCGAAGGCAGCAUACCGGCGCCCGACUGACGCUGAGGCACGAAAGCGUGGGGAUCGAACAGGAUUAGAUACCCCGGUAGUC